UGACCGCUGGCGGCGUGCUUACCACAUGCAAGUCGAACGAUGAAGCCCAGCUUGCUGGGUGGAUUAGUGGCGAACGGGUGAGUAACACGUGAGUAACCUGCCCUUAACUCUGGGAUAAGCCUGGGAAACUGGGUCUAAUACCGGAUAGGAGCGUCCACCGCAUGGUGGGUGUUGGAAAGAUUUAUCGGUUUUGGAUGGACUCGCGGCCUAUCAGCUUGUUGGUGAGGUAAUGGCUCACCAAGGCGACGACGGGUAGCCGGCCUGAGAGGGUGACCGGCCACACUGGGACUGAGACACGGCCCAGACUCCUACGGGAGGCAGCAGUGGGGAAUAUUGCACAAUGGGCGCAAGCCUGAUGCAGCGACGCCGCGUGAGGGAUGACGGCCUUCGGGUUGUAAACCUCUUUCAGUAGGGAAGAAGCGAAAGUAACGGUACCUGCAGAAGAAGCACCGGCUAACUACGUG
This 464-nucleotide ribosomal RNA is filed under the name uncultured bacterium. RNAcentral's name for it is "partial 16S ribosomal RNA". It matches the Rfam family "Bacterial small subunit ribosomal RNA", at positions 30 to 507 of the family's 1533-position model. The record is from RNAcentral.